GAAGGAGGAUAUGGAAGUGGGCUUGCUUUUGUGCUUCCGAGAAAAUAGCGUCAAGUGAAGGGGGGGAGAUACGAGAGUCCCGUUUUUGCUGCAAUGUAAAACACAUGUGUUGACGCCAACUGCGAGGUCAUGGAGAGCUUUCUCACCGCCAUCUUUUAAGCGCGAUCGAUUUAUCUUCCACUUGUGCCGAGCCUGUUGCCUUGUGAUUUUAUCAACUUGUUUCAAAAGCUCUACUCUGGAUGCACCUCGUGGUCUCUGAUAUAGCACCGGUAUUGGAAAUGUAGACGACAAUUCUAACGUCAAGCCACACAGGCAUCCUCAAAUGAUUCGUUUCGCCGCACAUCUGGUUCUGCGGAAGGAUUGAAGGACAAUACGGGGACAGGCUUGAAUUGGCUGGAGAUUGAAUCCUGAGCACGUACGUGAGGUUUGUAUUCACGCAACACAAGGAAGAGCUCGUUGGCCCUCAUCCCUCUCAGAUCUUUACGUGGAUAUGAUGGAGCUGCGGCAGCCUCCCGUUGUAUGGCAGAAUUCCAACAGCGUUUGGUUUUCCGAGAGAUCUCGCUAACGCCGCUAUGGUGCAGUGUUGAGAUUUCGGAAGGAGAAAGCAGAGCCAUUAAAAAAAAGAACGUUGCUGCCUGUUUUUGUUUUUUGUAUUUUUUUUUCCCGGGACUUCGUUUUUUCAGCAAGAAUACUUUUCUUGUGACGCACAUUAUCGAAGCUGGCUAUCAACAAUUGAGAACUGCAUUUCACCUGAAGAAAGAGCAAGGUCCUUUGCUACUGCAAAACAAGCUCUUGACACAGCUACUGCUUUUCUUCACAGUAGCGAAUGAAAGUGGCUUCUCACCAACGAUGAAGCCUUCCAAUCCGUGGAACUAUUUUCCACUGUCGUUUUUUGGAGAUCAUCGGAUCCUUGAUUUGCUCCAGAUCCUACAGUUUGCACUGCUCCGAACAGCGCAUUGCAUUUUUGCUCGGGAGAGCUGGCUUCCAUUCAACGCAACUUAACGGUGAAUGUGGCUGUCAAUCCUCAGAGCAAUAUGUUACUGGAUAUAGAGCUCAAAUGUGCGGCUCUUGAAGGGGAAGGCAUUGAAUCACUUGUAACAAGUGAUGGUGGAUUUUUGUCAUUGAAGGUUUACUUUUCGCCCUGGACAUCAGGAUUAAUUUCUUCUCUUUUUCCUUUUGUUGCAGGAGAACUUCCACAUUUUCAUCCUGAAGUUUUUCGAAUGGAUGCGUUUUCUAUUCACUCGGAUGGUGUACGCCGGGAUGCUCCAUUCGUGAUUUAUUUGCCGUCGUUGCUGCUUUCCAGAACUUGUGCUACGAUGCAUGGAGAUUCGUGGCUGGCUUCCGGUCUUGAAAUGACAGCAAGUGAUAAUCCUGACUGGUUGCGUCGGGAGCUCUUCAGGGACUGUUUAGCGGCAGUCAGCUAGAGGUUUGGGGGGCAAUUUGGUGAAAGUACCGCGGAAAUACUCAUGGAGCUCCUCGUCCUUAUGCCUCUAAUCUAGCUGGUGCGGAUCUUUACGUGCAUAUGAUGGAGCACGGCAGAAUGACAGCAAUGCCAUUCUACGUCCGUGACGGCUAUUUGGUAAUGCGAUGCUUCUCUAGUUUCUUUGAGAAGUCUCGUGAACUCAAAACAUCCGUUAAUUGAAAGCUGAAGAUACAAAGAGAGUCGAACUUACAGACAGGACAUUCUGUGCAAUAAAUGGACUUUACUUCUCGAGCAGGUCUACCAGAUUCGGACACAGUUGCGUACUCUCUUGACAAACACAGAGCUUAAAGAAGUAGUAGACUUACGAACCUGUACUUCUGCCUGAGGACUAUCAGGUUUUCUUUUAAGGUUCUCGAGAUCUGAUCAUUUCCUGCAAUAGAAGAGAGCUUGCUGCGUUCCAGAACUUCUGCUGCGAUUGCGAUCCAUUCAGUCGGGAGCUCGCAGGGACUGUUUCAGCGCAACUAGAGGUAUUGUCACAUUUUCCACAAGCUUCAUAGAUGUGCACAGAAUGAAGGCCGGAGGCCGGAGAAAGCCACUGGAUUUGUGAAAGCCUGAGCAAAAAGCUACAUUCUUUUCUACGAAGCCACUCCAAGAUAUCAAAGAAGGACGCUCUUAUUCUUUUUUGA
Molecule: long non-coding RNA, 2109 nt
Organism: Selaginella moellendorffii
Lineage: Eukaryota; Viridiplantae; Streptophyta; Lycopodiopsida; Selaginellales; Selaginellaceae
Exons: 15
Source: RefSeq, a predicted model, not a curated record